RNAcentral lists this long non-coding RNA (1659 nucleotides) under Triticum aestivum (bread wheat). RNAcentral's name for it is "long non-coding RNA (TAES_LNC023595)". Lineage: Eukaryota; Viridiplantae; Streptophyta; Magnoliopsida; Poales; Poaceae. The record is from RNAcentral.
AUUAGUCCGUUGCAUCAUUCUCUCGAUAGUUUGUCCACUAUAUUGUGAAGGACGAUGUCGAAAGUUGUGGCAGUAGUGAUGGUUCUUAGUUUGAUGAUGACCACCUCGGCCGAACACCAGGAGCGAGUAGUGGUAGCUACUCCAAUAGAAGGAACUAGUCAAGGACGGGUGCGCUAUUCGGUAACUCCGACGUACUCUACUACAUCACCGUCACUCGAUGGUGCACAUCCACAUUGUGGGGGUCGUGACCCAAAAAAUUGUCCUCCGCCUCCUGCAUGGUGACAAGUUGUAUUUUUUGCCAUGCUUGCUAUGCUGAAUAAAACAUCGUCCAUGCUAUUGUUUUCUUAGGAGAGUUCUAAUACUACAUUUCUUCGACUUUAACUUUUUUCGCGAAUACGCAAAGAUUGCGUAUCAUUCCAUUGAUAGGUAGAGAGAGUUUAUAUACAAGUGUGUGCUAUUCUUGUGGCCGUACACAGUUAGCUGGCGGCACCAAGAGAGCAAGUGAGCAGAAAGAGAGGUUGUUCAGCCUAACAUGCAAAAUUCGAUCCAGUCCUUUUGCGCCGGCCUUGGCCCAGCGCACAGCCUCGUGCUGAAUGGUCGCCAUGAGGUGGGUAUGGGAUGGAGAUGCUCCGUCGAAGAGGACGGCAUUCCGAUGCUUCCAAGUACUCUAUGCCAUGAGGAUGAUCAGAGAGUUGACACCUUUCCGUAAACCUGCCGGGGAGGUGGCAGCGGCGGUCUCCCACCACCUGAAGAAGCUGGUGGUUCCGUCUAUUGGUGCAAUGGGCAGCCGGCACCAUGCAAGCACCUCAUGCCAGGAUAUGCGCGCUAGCACGCAUCCAACAAGCAAGUGGUCGAUGGUCUCGUCUGCUUGGUUACAGAGCUUGCAGUUGGGGUCGUGGGGUAGCCCGUGUCUCGCGCGUCGCUCUGCUGUCCAGCAACGGUUGAGGGCAGCAAGCCAUAAGAAGAUUUUUGCAUUCGAGGGCGCCCAGGUCCUCCAAAUGAGUCACCAGAAUGGUGCCGUGGUGGAGCCGUGGAACAUGAGCUCGCCGUGUAGAUUCCAUUGGGAGUCCAUUUCCAGGAUAACUUGUCGGGGUUGGCACAUAGGGAGACGCCCUGCAGCUGCUGCCAUAACUCGACAUACUUGACGAUGGCUCCGGGGUCGAGCGUGCCAUGGAUGUCGGAGAUCCAGGUAUUGUUUGUCAGUGCUUCACUGACGAGUCGUCGUUUGCGUCGUCGGCGCGGAAUGAGAGAGCUCAGCGUAGGGGCCAACUCCGUGAUGGAAUGGCCGUUGAGCCAAUGAUCAGACCAAAACGGCAAGUGUUUCCGUCGCCAAGGGUCCAUGUGGUGGAAGCGCGAAAGAAUUCCAAGGUCUCGCGGUCGUGCGGGAGGUGUAGGUGUUUCCACGGGCGCUCCUGGUCACUGGCUUGAAGCCAAAGCCACCGGGUUCGCAGCGACACGCCGCUGCGCUGGAUGUCGCGAAUGGCUAGCCCGCCAUAGGCUAGAGGGCGGCAGACACGGGCCCAGGAGACUGGACAACAGCCUCCAUUGACAUCCCGCCGUCCAAACCAAAGGAAGUCUCGGAUGAGCUUGGUGAUCCGCUUGAGGAUGGGAGGGGCGAUCUCCAUCGCAAGGAAGUCUCGGACUUUAACUUUUCUCUCG